This 1471-nucleotide long non-coding RNA is filed under the name Homo sapiens (human). Its description in RNAcentral is "HSALNT0260591". Lineage: Eukaryota; Metazoa; Chordata; Mammalia; Primates; Hominidae. The record is from RNAcentral.
AACCCAGUUCACAGUGGGUGAAGGGACAGCUAGCUCAGAGGGAACCGGAGAAGCAGAGAGCUCAAACCAAACUGAAUGGCAGAAGAAGAAAUCCAGAUGAAGGGGGUUGGGGGAGAAACAAGCAGGCCGGGGAGAAAGAAAAGAAACCGUAGGAGGGAGAGAUAAAAGAUAGAAGUGGAGGAAAACAGGAAGCCAGAGUCUCCUGAGGAGAACAGGGAGAGACAGAGGGGUGGGAUGGGGUGCAGGGUGGGUGGGAAGGAGGCAGAUAUCAGAUAAGACUGGAGGAGAGAAGGGGGAGAAUAAUGACAGCAGAAAAAAAAUGAAAAUAGCUUAGAAUAAAGGCACCAAUCUCAGGUCAUUUGGAGUUGCAACUCUGAGGAACAAGUAUUAUUAAGUUGGGCAGGCCGGGCUCGGAGCCCCAUGCCUGGAAUCCCAGCACUUUGGGAGGCCGAUGGCGGAGGAUCUCUUGAGCCCAGGGGUUUGAGACUAGCCUGGGCAACAUAUUGAGACCUUGUCUCUACAAAUAAUAAUAAAAAGCUGGGUGUGGUGGUGCUAGCCAGUAGUCUCAGCUACUCAGGAGGCCAAGGUGGGAGUAUCGCUUGAGCCCAGGAAUUCCACAUCAGCCUGGCCAACAAAGCCAGACCCCAUCUCCACACACACCACCCCCCCCCCCAAAUUAAUCCUAGUGGUAUGCGCCUGUAGUCUCAGCUACUGGAAAGGCUGAGGCGGGAGGAUCACUUAUCACUUGAGUCCAGGAGGUGGAGGCUGCAGUGAGCUGUGAUGGCGGGUGACAGGGUGAGACCUUUCCCUGCCCCCUAAAAAAGAAAGAGGGGCAGAGGCCGGGCAUGGUGGCUCAGGCCUGUAAUCUCAGCACUUUGGGAGGCCGGCGGGUGGAUCACUUGGUCAGGAGUUUGAGACCUGCCUGGCCAACAUGGUGAAAGCUCGUCUCUACUAAAAAUACAAAAAUUAGCCGGGUGUGGUGGUGUGAGCCUGUAAUCCCAGCUACUGAGGCAGCAGAAUCGCUUGAACCCAAGAGGCAGAGGUUGCAGUGAGCCAAGAUCGUGCCACUGCACUCUAGCCUGGGUGACAGAGCCAGACUCCGUCUAAAAAAAAAAAAAAGGGCAGAGAGAAAGAUACACACAGACACAGAUGGAGAGGAGGGGGCUGAGAAUUGUGUGGCCAGUAUGUGGGCAGAAAGAGAAACUGAGGCUGGGGCUUAGAGGAAAUCACAGGGGGAGGCCAGCAGAUGCGUGAAACUUGGUGAAUCUUUAUUAAACUAGGGUCCACCCCAGGAGGACGGCUGGGGCGGGGACAGGGUCUCCCGCUGCAGGCUGCGCGGAGGCAGGAGGCACGGGGUGGCGUGGGGUCGCAUGGCUGCAGGCGUAUCUGCUGGGCCUGCUCCUCCAGCUUGGCGCGCACCUCCGCCACCUGCUCCUUCACCUCGUCCAGGCGCUCGCGGAUGGCGCUGAGG